CGCCUCCUCGCCGCACCCAACUCCGGUUGCGCCGUAGUGUCCACCGCCGCCGCCCGCCGCAUCGUCGUCCUCCCCAUCACCCGCCACCAACGCCUACUCCGUCCACCCGCCACCGACACCGAAUCCUCCGCCCACCCGCAACCGCCGCCAACGCCCCCGCCGCUGAGUCAGCUCCAGAUCCGCUGUCGGGCUGACUCCUCCUCCUCCUCCCUGUCGCGGACGCCGCCGCCGCCGAUGCCUACUACUCCGCUCCGAGCCCCAUCUAGCGAACAGAGCAGGGAUGGGAGGGGCGCCGUCGUCCUACUGCAUCCUUGGUGAGCAUCCACAUCCUUUUUCUCAUUCAUCUCUCUAUGUCCCACCCAUUUUUGCCUGGAAUUUUAUUGCGUUAACCAUAGCUUCUCUUCGAGAUCUGGAUGAUGCUCUUCUCUUAGUUAGUUUAAUUGUUUGCUCCCCCCCCAGUCCAAGUUGGAUCUGCCCCUGCUAUGGAUAAAUAAGAUUAAUCUGAAUCACAGGCCCUUCAAUCCCUUCUCAUUUGUAAUCCUAAGCAAAUUAAUAAGCUACAUAGAUGUUGUUCUUGUAAUUUAUUUGGAGUAAUCAGUUUAAUUGAAUCACAGUAGCAUUGUGUUUCCCCAAUUUGGUUUUGUCACUUUCAAAAAAGAAAAAGACAUUUAUGUUUCACAUUUGGUACUCUAGCAAAUUUAUUCAGUUAUCUACCCAAUUUAUUCAAUUGUUCUGCUGUGUACUGUAGUCUAGCCAAUUUAUUCAACUAUUCUGCUUUGGUUCCGCUCGUUGUCCAUCUGCUCAUAGUCGUCCACUCACUGGUGUUUCCCUGGUAUGUCUCUGAAAGACUGAAGUGGCAUAUUUUCUUUUGACGUAGGACAUACGAACCGAGCUCUUGCAGGCCGCACAGGUUAUCACAAUGAUAUGUGCAUGGGAUAUGUUUAAUUACUCAAUACCUUGUAUUUUUUUUCUUCUGGAUAUCGAAUCAAACAAAAUCCGCAUGAAAAGCUGAUGGAGUAAUGGCUGCAAUGUGCUGCAUAGGAAAUUAUGUUUGCAUGAUCGUAGUCUUCAAUAUUCAGGAUACAUAAGAGAGGAUGUUAUCUCAAAUUAGUUUCAACAAUAUACUCAUUAUUCCAUCCCUGUAACAGUAAUGCAUGACUCCAAAAGCUUCUGAAACUUUUAACCCCAUACAACUAUUUUCAGUUUUUAAUAAAUGAACAAUGAUUUUCUGUAAGAAACAGGAAGUAAUACUUACACCGGGUGAGCUGAAAUCAUGGUUGUGUCGUCAUGAUAUAACAAUCCGUGGACUUGCUCGUACAGGGAAUACCCGAUCGAUCUAGAAUAGGGGAAUCAAUCGAUUUCUGCAUCAGAUGCGCUUUCUUUUUCUCGGUUAGAUCCGACUGCCGGCGAACAAGCCUGAUAGUUCCUAAGAUUCAAGCCAUGAAUUUUGUUACUAGCUAGGUGUUGCAACAGAUCUCCUGACAUCCUUACCCAUAUUGCAGAAGUUUUUUUCAUUUCAGCCUUGGAAAUAUUCAAAGUAAGACCCUGUACUACUACCACAUCAAAGAUUUAGUUGUUCCUUUGUAAUGACAUUAUUUUUUGACAGCACGCAUACUCCAUUCCUGAUUCACUUGAUAUUCCUAAUGAUUUUGAUUACUCAACAUUAUAUAAAGAACUUCUGAUUUUGAUUCUUAAGUUUUUUUUUCUUAUCUUAGGAUUCAAAUGGUAUUUAAUUCAGAAUUUGGUAAAUCACCUCCAAAUUCACAAUCUGAUCUUUGAUUUAUUUCUUUCGACAUUUUCCAAAUGUACAGCAACAUUGCUAUCUAUGACAUAUUCCAAAUGCACAGCCAUUUAGGAGAUUCUUUUAGCUAAUUCAGCAAUAAAAUAAACCAUGCUGUAAAUUUGAACUGGUCUGCCUCUGUUCAUGGGGCUAAAAGUUAUGGAUGCUUAGCCCAGAUGAAAUAGCAUCAUUGCGCUCUACUGUAUCAGGAUUCUCCCUUGAGUCGUGUAUUUGCUAUUUUGUUUUGCUUCUCUCAAACAAUUGUUCCUGAUGUUAUGAUCUGAUAUAUCAUAGUUUUAACGUGAUACACAGGUAUAGAUAGUAUAAGCUGUCGUAUUUCAUGAUAAAUCAAUUUUCAAUGAUGAACCUUAACCAGAUUUGGACAUCUUCAGGUGUUGGACUUGAUAAAGCUUGGAGAUCAUCUCAGUGAACGGGAGGAUGCUGAUCUCUAUAGGAUUGGGAUUACUGGUGAAUCACUUGGAGGUAUUGUAUAUAUAAUGAAUUCAUGAUUGCAUCCUUAUAUUAGAGUAACAUAUGCCCCCCUGUAGAGCAUAUAAAAUAGGUGUGAUAGCAUUAGAAGAUAAGGUAAUUUUUUCAGUAAGAAAAAAAUUAAAUCAUUUUUUAUGUGUCUGAAAUCUAAAUUUACAACUGAAUACAAGCUCUUAAUGAUUCUCUGCACUUGAGCGUGUCCCUGAAACUGACUGAAAUCUAUCUAUUAUAUACUAAAAGUCCAUGAAACUUCCUAUAAACGCUCUCAGGCCGCCACGUGGGGCUCCUACAAACGCUCCUAGGCCGCCACGUGGCUCUGUCAAAUCUAACCGUCGAUUUUCACUUAAAUUGGUGGACCCGAUACUUUACACCAUUAGAUUAAAUUUUUCAUUGAACCUCCCCUUCCAUCGAUCCCCGGUUUCCCUCCUUUUUCUGAUCCUAUUAUUAAGCUACUCUUUCACCAAAAAAAAAGACAUGCGAGUACAUACGUGAGUAUAGCACGAUCAGAUAAACCCGAAAGAACAUACUCCUAUACGUACUUAAUACAUGAUCAGAGAAACACCGAAAGAACACAUAUAUAUAUACUUACACGUACAUAUAGAAAAAGAUAAAACAUCAUACUCUAUAACUUUACAUAAAUACCACUGUCGAUUUUCAUUUAAAUUGGGACCCAAUUGAUGUUUUAGAACAUUAGAUUAGAUGUCUAAAAGUCCAUUAAACUUCCAAAAAUGCUCCUAAUUCGUCCUACGACAUCCUACAAACGCUUCUAAGUUGCCAUGUGAUGCUCUAAUAAAUUAGUGAAAUAUUCUUAAAAUUCUAAAAUAAUCAUAUUUUCAUUAAAUUUGGUGGACCCAUUAUUUACAACUAUUAGAUUAAUUUUCAAGAAAAAAAUUCCUUUCCUAAACCCGGGCCAACCAAAGCUUGUAUGUAUAAGUUACUUUUUUUAAAAAAAGCGAAUAUACGUAUGUACGCCUUAUCUUCAUUCAAUUCAUUUCUCCACUUUUUCACCUAUUCCUUCUCCUAUUUUCAUGCCUUAUUAGUUAGAUAAGCAAUAAUAUCAUGUUAAACAAUUAAGCUUCUUAAUCAUACAACUAAUUUCUGAUCCGCAAAAUCUUUAAAUUAUUUAUAACUAAAUUUACAGUUGAAGACCAUAUUUCACUACAAUUUAGCUUUGAAAAAAAAAGUCAUUUUGGUUUAUAUUUCUGGCUUUUGCGUGCCAUUCAAGCAAUUAUAAAAAACAUAUAAAAUAAUGAUAAUAAUUAAAUUAGGUCUACAAUCAUGAAAAUAAAAUGAAUAUACUAUGAGUAAUGUUUACAGAAUAUGUUAGUUAGAAAGCAAAACUUAUGCAACAAAAUAAGCAACUAUAACAUCUAACUCACACUACUAAUAUUUGAUGAACUUAUGUCUUUAGAUUAUUUUACAUUUAAAGACCCAUAUCCACUGUAAUAUUGAUUUUGAGAAGAAAUAUGUCACUUUGGGGCUAUAUUUUCUGAUUUUUGUGUGCCAUUCGAAUAAUUAUAAAAUUAUAGAAAGAUAAUGAUAUAUAUCUUAUCACCAUAUAUGACUUCGGAAUAAUUAAACUAGAUCUAUAUGGAUAACAGUAAAAUAAACGAAUGCUUUAAAAAAGUACUCCCCAUUAUAACAUUAGAAUAAGUCAAAAUAACAUUAUUAGAUUAUUAGAUUGUAGUGUUCGUAUUUUUAAUAUCUACUACGAAUAUACUGGAAAAGACAAGUAAAAACUAUAGAUUUUAAUCGAACAAUAAAUCAUUUUUUAAUUUUUAGUUAAAAAACUAAUAGCAACUAAAACACUACAACCCGGGAAUUAUUACAAUUAUAUGCCCACAUAAUCUCCUCCCUUCAACUCUCUCUUCCUCUGCUCACUCAUUUAAUUCCUUUGUCUCCUAAUUUUUAACUAAGUAAAAAAAAGAUCAAUAAUUAGAAAGCCAAAUAAUUAUAAUUCUAAAGUUAAAUCAUAAUUUUAACUUAUUCGAAUUUUUUUAUUUAUAAUUAAAUAGAUAAUUUAAGAUCCAUGUUACCCAUAUUUCAAUCUAUAAAGAUGAAAAUUCGUCAUUUAAGCAUAGACACCGUUCCUUUGCAUAGUAACCAAAUAGAAAAAACACAAACCAUAACACAAAAUGAAAACAAGUACUAUAUUAUUGUAAAUCAUUGUACAUCCUUUGAGCACACUUAAGGUGUCACGUGUUAUGUCUUAAAAAUAAAACUUUACAAAUUGGAAGAAAAAUCAUCUGACCAUCAGUUUCCACUUAAAUAGGUAGAUCCAUUAUUUUAACCCAAUAGAUAUACAUUUAAGAAAAUCUUAAGCCGCAAUGUGUUAUGUCUUAAAAAUUAGAAAAAAUAACAAAAAAUGUGAGAAAAAAAAUAUAUCAACGGUUUCACUUAAAUCAUUUAGAUAAAAUAGAAAAAUCCACCCCUCCACUUCGCCCUCCCCCCAAACAUACGCACAACACGGCACUACUCGUCCCAUCCCUUCUGACCUUCUCCACUCUAUCCCUUCCUGUUUAUAUAGCCAAAAAUAAUAAAAAUAUUAAAAAUGCAUAAAUUUCAAGCUCAUCUGAUUUCUAAUCUAAAUAUUAUUGUAUUUAUAAUUAGAACAAUGAUUUAAAGAUCCAUAAAGACUAUAUUUUGAACUGUAUAAAAUAUAAAAUAAAGCAGGUAAUAGAAAAUGUCAAUAGGGACUAAAUUAAACUAUUUAGAGAAAACAUGAUAAGUUCAUAAAAAUAUUGGUUCUUACAUUUCACUAAAAUUGGACCAACCAUUGCAUGUUCCAUUUUCGUAACAAUUUUAAAAUGCUUAGACAUUAAUGGCCUUACAUCUAUCCUAUAUCAUAGCAUUAUGAGUUUCUCCACAUAUUAUUACACAUAUAAACCACACUAAGGUUCACAGUAUAUAGUUCUUUGAAAAGUUAUAUUUGUUACUAUUAAAUUUAAAAUUUUGGAUUCAUGUUAACUAGGUAUAUUCUUUUAAAAAAGAUAGUAUAGAUCACAAGGAAGCGAGGUAUAUGACAUGUCUUAAUUAAUUUAUAUAUAAGUAUGUAACAACUUGCAUCAACUUAAACCUACUAUAAGGAGAACUACUUGAUGGUACAAAUAAAACAUAUUUAUUAACAAUAUAGUUCUUUAGAAUUUGUUUAAAAAAAGGCAAAUAAACAUUCUAUUAAAAAAGGACAAAACACCUUACUUCUAAUUUAUGAUUGAUUUGUCAGGCACGUUUUCCAAAAAAACUAAAUCGAACUUCCUUCUAUAUAUUAAAGAGAUCAUAGAUAAUUAUUUAUACAGAUGUAUCAAAUAUGAUAUAUUUUAAAACCAAACAAAUAUCUUGGAAAAAUUAUCAAAGCAAAAUGCCGAAAAACAGCGGAGGCCUCACCUGAUGUGUCUUAUUCAAAUAAAAAAGUACGUUUAAACAUGGGAGGUGUCAACCAAUUGAUAUUCUGUUUAUAUAUAUAUAUAUAUAUAUAUAUAUAUAUAUAUAUAUAUAUAUCAAACACAAUGUACAAAUCAGGUUGGAAAUUUCGGAGUAAAAUUUCCAAAUUUCAGAAAUUUCGAUCAUUUCGGACCCCUCAGAUAUGAUAUUAUUUCGGCCGAAUUUUUUCAUUAAUUUUGAUAAUAUUUGUCCAAAUUCAACUAAAUUUUGUUCAAAUUUUUGGAAAUUUUAUACCAAAAUUUUGGAAAUUUCGGUAUUUCAGUGAUGCCCGAUCAAAUCGGCUAAACCGAAAAGUUUAACCCUGUGUACAAUACAUCCCCGCGUGAAUGCGCGGGCUAUCUUUCUACUUUAUAUAAAGAAUAUCGAGGACAAAUCUAUCAGGAUACACAAUGUGAUCGUUCUAUUUGAAGAUUUGUUCUAUUUGCAGAACCCUACCUCUAUAUCUCCAAAAUAUGAGAACUGCAUUAUUGUAGAUAUAAUUUAGUAAUGAUCUGACAUAAAUCUAGAGGAAAAACAAAAACAAUUUGGAUUUUUCUCUUUGUCUUUGACAGAUUGCUUUUGUGCAUUUAAAAAGAUAAGGGUUUGUUUAACUAAUUUCUUUUUGCUACAGCUUUCAGUAUAGUUUAUUAAAUCUGAUGUGCUUCUAAUUAAUCUUAUACAACAUAUACAAAAUGCUUCUAAAGAAAUCUUCUAAUUAAUCCUCCACCACCAUUCAGUCCGCCGCCCCGUACGCUGGACUAUAUAGUUAUUAUUAAUUGCUAUUAUCUUUAAGAGGCGCUUUUCUUUCCCUUUGUCAGAUAAUCAAGAACUAUCAUGAUCUUUUGUGAUCAAAAGCCCAUAGUCCACUACUAUGUUUUACUACUUCCAGAUUAAUGGAGUGGUAUUGUGGUUUCUCAGCCAUGGCAAUGUGGGUAUGUAAACAGUUCUCACGUGAGCAGUACAUUUUCUACCUCAUUUUGUGCAUAUGUUUUAUCAAAGAAGUAAGAUACACAAUAUUUCGCUAGCCCUGUGGUUGGUUUCAGAAUAAUGUUUUCUCUGAAGUGAAAAUUAGAUUACAAUUGGUCUAUAUACCUUAACAUAAUUACAUUAAUAUGUCAAAAAUAAUCGAGGUAUUUGCUAUAGUUUAUUUGGAGUUCAUAUCAAUAUCAAAACAAAAAUGUACUCUUUAGUUCUUCAUAUUUGAUAUGUACAUGCUUCUGGAGGAUGGAGUAUUGGAGUGUUAAUUAGAUAUGGUGUCCCGCAUUAACCACAUUCCGUGUUGAAUGCCUUUCAUGGUUUGAAUAAAGUGAAAUUAUAUACUACUGCACAAUUUCUGCAGUUGCGUGCGUACAAACAAAUCUUUAGAUUUCUAAAAUUGGCAUGGAUGCUUAUGACAGCUUUUGGCUUUGUUGUCGUUUGCAGCGAGCGUCGUCGUCGUCAGGUCCUCCACUGCUGUUCAGUCCGCCGCCACCUACGCCGGUCCUCUCGCUUCCAGGUGACGAACUCUGGUUGAUGGCAUCGCACUGCUGGUACCAGGGUAAUUGCUGGCGCAACCGCAUGCCAAACUUACCUGCUGCCACUCCCAUGAAUUUACUAAUUAGCGUUUUCUUAGUUUUCAUUUGUUGGAAUGAUGGAUCGACGAAUUGAUGAUAUGCUCCCUCCGUUCUAAAUACAGGGAUUUCUCAAAAGAUUUUAUUUUAGUUACUAAUUCAGUUAUCAAUUUUUGAAUUUUGAAUUGCUUAAAUUCCUUUCCUGAGCAUCUGAUUGGCUCUGGAAUAAUUGAAGUGAUGGGAAUCAGUGCAGAUGCUUCUAUUGUGGUACAAAGUGUGAAUUCUUAUAUUUUGGAAUGGAGGGAGCAUAUCAUAUAUCUGUAUAAUUUAAGAAUUCCUUUUUUGUUCGAAACCUGAAGUUGGACAAUCAACUUUUGCUUUGGAAUUUCUGGUUCUAUUCGGAUACCAAUCUCUUCGUCCUCACUCCAAAAUGGAAGUGAUUUUCAUUAUUUACAUGAUUACAUCUCAUUUCUUAAUAUUUAUAUGCAAAAUCAGAAGAGUGAGAUUAUUCCCUUAUAGCUUGUCUGGUGACACCCUCGAUUUGUUUCUAGGGUCUUUGUUCAAUUCUAAUUCUAACAUUUUUAAGGACGGAUUGGUACUGUUUUGCAGCAUCUUGGCUUAGAUUUAUUUAUGUGAUGUUCUACAUAUUUUGCUCUGCGCAAUAGUGAUCUGGUUGGAGUACAUACAUAUAUUAAAUAAAUAAGUGCUCUCAAUUUUGUUUCCGUAGAUGUGAGUAAGCAGUUUUUUUUUUUCAUAUGUUUCAGUGAUUCAUUUUGCUGCCUUCAAUUGUGAAAUGAGAAAUACCUGUAAGUGAAGGCCUAAGCUCAAGGAAUAAUUUGUUCUUUUUGAAAACAAAAAGGUUAGCGUUCUAAUUCUUUCCAAUUUUUUAAUUGACAACAUGUUGAACCAUUCAUCCUUUCUGUUCUCUAUAUGAUGUAUUUCACCUUCGUAAACAUUUUACAGCUCAUAGGUAGAAUGUUCACCACCAGGCAAGUCAAGGAGCGAAGUAUGGGGACAGUGUGUGCUCGGAAGAUCUUUGCCAGCUUGUGUUUUGACUUCUGAAGGCAUGCACAGAUGUGAAGAUAUGAACUUCUAGGGGAGCUUUAUAAACCGAGAAUAGUUAAGGCAAUACUUGAUUUACUUUGGACUGCAAAUUACUUGAUCGGAUAAUCAAUAUGUGGCGAGCUUUACACAGAUUGGCUUUGAUGAAUCAUUAAAGGGCUAUCGGCGGGGUGAAUAUCUAGCUUUGAACAUGAUUUGUUUUGAUUCCUGUUGCAACGCACGGGCACACAACUAGUAAGUUGUAAAUUCAUCUUGCAAGCAGCUGGGAGAAAUGUUUUGAACAAUGAAUGGAAUGCAAAAUCUUUCUAAUACCUGUAAACUGAAUGAAAUGGCUUAUGAAUAACUGAAUUCCUGUAAACGCAAUGGCUUCUAGAUCCCAGUAGUAUUCAGAGUCUCAGACAAGAACAUGAUGUGAGAGUAAUGUCAGCUUUGCCCAAGGAUGCGAAGAACUCACGGAGCAGCAAACUCAAGCGAUGACACACACGCACGAGCAACAAAUUGUAGUGGACACACACAAUAGAUCUCUGGAGAUGAACACACAGAAGUGCACACACACACAUAGUUGUUAAAUUCAGACCGGUGAUCGAAACAGUGAGUCUACCUGUUCAAAGGCUCCCUGGUCCAACCGCUUGUUCACCGGUUUAACCGUCGGUUCA
RNAcentral lists this long non-coding RNA (8957 nucleotides) under Oryza sativa (Asian cultivated rice). RNAcentral describes it as "long non-coding RNA (OSAT_LNC000197)". The record is from RNAcentral. Lineage: Eukaryota; Viridiplantae; Streptophyta; Magnoliopsida; Poales; Poaceae.